Molecule: non-coding RNA, 727 nt
Organism: Ceratotherium simum simum (southern white rhinoceros)
Lineage: Eukaryota; Metazoa; Chordata; Mammalia; Perissodactyla; Rhinocerotidae
Source: RefSeq, a predicted model, not a curated record
CACUAUCGGUAGCUCAUGUGUCAGUCUCAUGACUUCACCUGCUUUCAGGAACCGGCAUCAUAAAACUGAAUAAUAUGACAUCACAGUACAAGACCUGGUAACAGUAGGUUUCUUUUUAUUCCGGAAUAACUGUGGUCAACUUUCAUUAAUGUGGAAGUUGACUGAUUAAUGUUAAGAAUCAAAGUGUAGAAUAAAGCUGUAACCUAUACUCAACAUUGUAGUUUGAAAUUUUUAGCAUUUCUUUCCCUAAAACGUUCAUAGCAGAGGUGUUCAUCUCACUUGCCUGUUUCACCUCUAAAUACCACCACAGUUACUGGGGUUGUGUGAGGUAAAGGAAUAAACCCAAUGGCUAUUAACCUGUCACGGCUCUCUGGAAUUCUGAUGGAAAAGGUGCUCUGGCCACAUCCUACAAAGUGCUUAGAGCUCAACCUAAGACCUUAAAUAGAGCUACCAUCACUCCUGCCUGAGCCGAACAGGUUCCCAACCACAGCAGCUCCUCCUCCUCUGCCGUCCCACCACUGAUUAGCUUCCUGUGAAGGAAACAAUGGAAACGGGAUUGGUUUUUGAGCCAAACACCAUAAAAAUGUCGGUGUUCUAAACAGUGAGGAAACCUCAACAAGAUCUGGUUUUGGCAGGGGAAUAGCGAAUGGGGCCCAAAUUAUACAAGACUCCAAAAACUCAGGAAGACCCUAUCCAGGAGGGAAGAAGGGAAAGCAGGCUGGUAACC